RNAcentral lists this non-coding RNA (26 nucleotides) under Macaca fascicularis (crab-eating macaque). The record is from RNAcentral. RNAcentral also lists the same sequence under 1 other name. Lineage: Eukaryota; Metazoa; Chordata; Mammalia; Primates; Cercopithecidae.
UUGAAGCUGCCUGGGCUCUAACGAAU